GUUUUUGCUAACCAGCCAUCUUAAAAUGGAUUCAUUUGCAAUUGAACAGUAUAAAUUUACAUAUUAAUUGUAUUGUUUUAUGCUCUACUUCCUUCUCACGGCGAGAGUCCUGCUACUAUACUGCUGGUCAGUCGGACCGAGCCAUGAUCCGGAAGACCGGAAGGGAGUCAUUCAUGAUCUCCCUCUUAAAACAAUUAAUAAGGCUAGCUUGAAGCUUCU
Molecule: unclassified non-coding RNA, 219 nt
Filed under: Hevea brasiliensis (rubber tree)
Lineage: Eukaryota; Viridiplantae; Streptophyta; Magnoliopsida; Malpighiales; Euphorbiaceae
Source: RNAcentral